GAUGAACGCUGGCGGCGUGCCUAAUACAUGCCAGUCGAGCGAACAGACGAGGAGCUUGUUCCCCUGACGUUAGCGGCGGACGGGCGAGUAACACGUGGAUAACCUACUUAUAAGACUGGGAUAACUUCGGGAAACCGGAGCUAAUACUGGAUAACAUGUCGAACCGCAUGGAUCAACAGUGAAAGACGGUCUUGCUGUCACUUAUAGCUGGUUCCGCGUCGCAUUAGCUAGUUGGUAAGGUAACGGCUUACCAAGGCAACGAUGCGUAGCCGACCUGAGAGGGUGAUCGGCCACACUGGAACUGAGACACGGUCCAGACUCCUACGGGAGGCAGCAGUAGGGAAUCUUCCGCAAUGGGCGAAAGCCUGACGGAGCAACGCCGCGUGAGUGAAGAAGGUCUUCGGAUCGUAAAGCUCUGUUAUUAGGGAAGAACAGCUGUGUAAGUAACUAUGCCCGUCUUGACGGUACCUAAUCAGAAAGCCACGGCUAACUACGUG
RNAcentral lists this ribosomal RNA (497 nucleotides) under uncultured bacterium. RNAcentral describes it as "partial 16S ribosomal RNA". It matches the Rfam family "Bacterial small subunit ribosomal RNA", at positions 28 to 507 of the family's 1533-position model. The record is from RNAcentral.